Molecule: RNA transcript, 5277 nt
Organism: Motacilla alba alba
Lineage: Eukaryota; Metazoa; Chordata; Aves; Passeriformes; Motacillidae
Gene: KLHL11
Gene name: kelch like family member 11
Exons: 4
Source: RefSeq, a predicted model, not a curated record
GCGCUCUCUCCGCCAGGGGGCAGCGCCGCGCCCCGCCCGCCAUGUCGGACAAGAUGGCGGCGGCUGCGGCCUGUCCGCAGCCUCAGCCCGGUCCCAGCGCCGCUCCCAGCCCCGGCCCCGGCCCCGGGCCCGGCCCGCCGGCCGCCGAGGCGGAGCGCGGGGCCCCACGCGGCAGCGCGGCGGACGGGGAGGCUGAGGCGGAGGAGUUCGGGUGUCCGGCGCACUGCUCCGACCUUGCCUGGCGGCAGAACGAGCAGCGCCGCCACGGCCUCUACUGCGACAUCACGCUGGCUUUCGGCGGCGCGGGCAUGGCCCGCGAGUACCGGGCGCACCGGUCCGUCCUGGCCGCCGCCACCGAGUACUUCUCGCCGCUGCUCUCGGGGGGGUUCGCGGAGUCGCGCUCGGGUCGCGUGGAGCUGCAGAAGUGGAGCUCGGAGGGCGGCCCCGACCCCGACACGGUGGAGGCCGUUAUCGGUUUCAUGUACACCGGCACCAUCCGUGUGAGCCCCGGCAACGUCCAUGAGGUGCUGGAGAUGGCGGACAGGUUUCUGCUGACCCGGUUAAAGGACUUCUGUGGAGAGUUUCUGAAGAAGAAGCUGAACCUCUCCAACUGUGUGGCGGUUCACAGCUUGGCCCAUAUGUAUUCCCUGAAUCAGCUGGCCCUCAAAGCUCAGGACAUGAUCAGGAGAAACUUCCACAAAGUCAUCCAAGAUGAGGAGUUCUACACUUUGCCAUUUCACCUUGUCCGGGACUGGCUCUCAGACUCGGAGAUCACAGUGGACUCUGAAGAAAUCCUCUUUGAGACUGUUUUGAAGUGGGUUCAGAAAAAUCCUGAGGAAAGAGAGAGGUACUUUGAAGAUCUCUUUAAGCUGCUAAGAUUAUCUCAGAUGAAACCCACGUACCUGACCCGCCACGUGAAAUCCGAGCGGCUGGUGUUGAGCAGCGAGGCCUGUGUGAAGCUGGUGUCCGAGGCCGUGGAGAGCCACGCCCUGCGCUCUGAGAACCUGCAGUCUGGGAACCUGCAGCACUCCGCCUGUCCCGCCGCGCUGCUGCCGCGCUUCGGCCAGAACAUGGACGUCAUCAUGGUCAUCGGCGGCGUGUCCGAGGGCGGCGACUACCUGAGCGAGUGCGUGGGCUACUUCAUCGACGAGGACAGGUGGGUCAACCUGCCUCACAUCCACAACCACCUGGACGGGCAUGCCGUGGCCGUGACAGAGUCCUACGUGUACGUGGCUGGCUCCAUGGAACCGGGCUUUGCCAAGACUGUGGAAAGGUACAAUCCGAACAGAAAUAUCUGGGAGCAGGUUUCAAACCUAAUCACCAGGAAACAUUCCUUUGGCCUUACUGAAGUGAAAGGCAACUUGUACAGUAUCGGUGGACAUGGUAAUUUCAGUCCAGGCUUUAAAGAUGUGGCCAUUUAUAAUCCUGAGCAGGACAAAUGGCUGAACCUGGAGUCGGCACCAAAGAUCCUGCGGGAUGUCAAGGCUGUCUCCGUGGAGGACCGCUACGUGUACGUGGCCGCCCGCACCCCGGUCGACAGCGACAGCGAGGACGGGCUGAGGGCUGUUAUUAUCAGAUACGAUGCUGAAACCAGGCAGUGGCAGGACGUGGAGUCCCUGCCCCUCAUCGACAACUACUGCUCUUUCCAGAUGUCUGUUGCCAGCACCAACUUCUACCACACGGCAUCGUGCUGCCCCAAGAGCUACCCCAUAGACAACGAGGAGGCCAAGGGCAAGAUCUCCAGCAGGGCCUCGGAUGAAAUCCUGGAAUCCUUGCCCCCCGAGGUCCUGAGCAUUGAAGGAGCAGCUAUUUGUUACUACAAAGAUGACGUGUUCAUCAUUGGGGGGUGGAAGAACAGCGACGACAUCGACAAGCAGUACAGGAAGGAGGCCUAUCGCUACUGCGCCGAGCGGAAGCGCUGGAUGCUCCUGCCCCCGAUGCCACAGCCCCGCUGCAGAGCCACUGCCUGCCACGUGAGAAUCCCCUUCAGGUGCCUGCAGGGAACGCAGAGGUACCCCAUGCCACAGAAUCUCAUGUGGCAAAAAGAUAGAAUAAGGCAAAUGCAGGAGAGGCAGAUGCAGGAGAUACACCGAUACUCGCUGAGCUUACGGAGGAUGCCGCGCUCCCAGAUCGAGUGCUAGUGUCUGCAGUAUCACUCCUGAUGAGCCUAGGAAAUAAACCCAUUUGUUAGGCUUGAUGUGUCUUUAUAAGACAUGAGGGUGUGGAUUUGAUUUGAUGCAUAAAACCAGCAUCUGUCGUGUACUGAAAAUUCAGAAGCUCAGAAGUUGAGGGUGGGUGGGAAUUGAGACACUCCGUGAAUCCAACAGUAUUCCUUAAUGAUGCCCAGGGAAAAGCUGUAGCCUGUAUUGGGCUGUGAAAUGUCUCUGGGAGCAUUAAGCCUGUUACUUCUUUCCUCAGAUCUUUGGUUCCAAGGAUUUCUGUAGAGUUAGUCUCUGACAGUUCUACUUGGAAAAUCAAAGAUCUCUCUCUUAAUAAUUUAGUGGUUACAUUUGUGUGUGCUUGAAAGCACCUGUUUCAUUUGCACUUAUCUCUUGACAUUCCUUUGAUUCUCUCCUCAGUGACUAAACUUCACAGGAUUGGUGUUGAUGUACUUGGCUUUCCCAAGCUGGAGGCAAGUGCAAUAGUUCUGUAUGAAACAAAAGCACAAUCUUUCUUUAUGAAAUUAUUUCAGGAUGUUUCUAUGUGUAUUAAAUAUUUUGUAUUUGUGUGUUGUAGAGAGGCUGCAGUGUUUGUUUAUAGGUGGAUGAUUGGUUGGACACAAGACACUUGCUAAAAGAGAGCUUAAGGCAGUGGAUUUUUUUUUCAGGUGUAUUUGCAGGUUUGAGUCUGUCUGUGACUCAAACUUAACUUGGGUCAACAGCCUGAGCAAAGGAGUGACACCAGGCAAUGAGCCACCCACCCACACUGGUUGUUCAGUUCUGUCAGAGUGGAUCAGUGAGAAUGGGAUAAUUUCAUGGGAAUAUAGUGAAACCUGAGCUACUUGUAGGUCUUUUCUCAAAAUGUUGCACGUUUUAAUUCUAGUGAAAAGUGAUGAAAGAGCCCCUGCUGUUCCCAGCCUGUCUCUGACAAUCAGAAGCCUUUGCCCUCCCAGGGGACUCCCAGCAGCUGUGCUGCAGCUCUGCACCGGGCUGGCACGAGUGCUCCUGCAGGGGGGAGAGCUGGCCUUCCAGAGUCUCCAGGUAUCUAUCUGAGCUUCCCCACGUGCUGUGGGCUGAGAUUUAAGCUCAUUUAAACAUCUUUUGGCAUUUUGAGGUGGCCGUACACGUAAGUGCCCUGGUUGGCUCUGGAUGCUUCCUGCUGCACUUCCAAAAUGUGGGAUAGUCCCUUUGGAGUAUCCCUGCCUCUCUGUCCCACUGAACACUCCUUCUCCCCAGCCCAAGAAGCUCCAGAACCCUUUCAUUUACCAACAGUUUCAGUGCAUACUUCCUACCUCCUUUUCUCCCCAUCCUUCCCUUCUUUUGAAUGUUCCAGGUCUUUCCAUGCAGUCUUAACUCAGGAUCUUAGGGAAGGGAAUGGGAGGAGUAACCUGGGUAUUACAAAAUUUCUGUAGACAAACCUUAGUGGAAAAUCUGUUACUGUUCUUGGUUCAUUGCUGAUUUGCUGGUGGUUUUGCUGUGUGGGUGAGUUCUUUACAAAGAACUUUUAACCAAUUUGGGGUUUGUUUUGGUCUUAAUUGUUUUUCUUCCUGAGCUGCUCAUUCUCCUUUUCCAGUUCAACAGGCAGCCCAGAUCAUAUCUGAAACUUGGGGUGAAGUCUAUGCUACUGGCUUCAUGCAAGAGGAAAUAGGAGGACUUUGGGCUGAUGGACAAGCUGUGGCAUUUACUCAAAGCACUCUCCUGAGAGCCAGUGUGAGCCCUGCCCCAUCCCUGGACAGGUAACCCGUGUGUGCCAGCUGCAUGCUGUGUGGGCAGUGCUGUUCCUCCCUGUGCUGGGGUGGGGCCUGGCAGCAGCACAGGCUGCUCUCAAUGUUUGCUCUGCCAGUUCUGGGGUAUUUUUAAGCAGUUGGGGUUUUUUAGCCUUGAGGGACCAGUGGCACUGAUAAGGUUUGUGACCGACAGGUCAGAUAGUCCACUGCAUCACAUGAGGUGUUGGGAGAAUUGCGUUCAUGGCUCUGGCUGCAGUUUAGCCCACAAGCCUGUGAAUCCAUAACAAUUUCCUUGUGCCCUUGACCACCAUAGCUUGCUGGGUGUUUAUCAAAUGAUCCCAUAAACAGAAGCCUGGGAAUUCCUCCCGGGCGUUUCUGGAGGCUGGUCAGCUGUCAGCAGGAUCCCAGUGUGUGUUCAGUAAGGGUGAGAAGGCUGACUGCUGCCUCACUGAGGGAAAAGGACAUUGGGGGGAGUUUUCCUCCUCCUUAGGACAAUCACACCUCUACACCUGUCCUGAUUCCUGCCACCAAACACACGUGUCAUGUCCUGGCUUUCUGCUCAAAGUACCAGUGGCACUUGCCAGGUGCUGGUGGUCACUUUAGUACCUCCCAGGGGCCAGAUGUGUACAUAAAAUUUUAUAACUACCCGGAUACUCCAUUAGUUGCCAGGGGUUGUUUUUAAUGACUCCCUUGCACACAGUGGGAGUCAUUCCAGAGAUGAAGCAAACAGCCCAAUGUCACAUGUGCUGUGAACAACUCUACCCAGCGUUCUGCUUUGUAUUGCAAUGACAUUUUUCUCCAUUACAGUAAAUAUUAAAAUUCAAACUCUUGGCUCAUCUUGUGUGUUGUGGAAUACUCUGGUGGCUGAAAACAGACCCAGUCCCAAGGAAUUAGAACUUUUUAUGUUAUUCCUUUUACAGCCUUGUAACAGGAUAUAACAUCCAAUGGGCUUUGAAAAGCAAGUGUAGAGAAAGUGGUCUGUGGCUUGGAUUUAUUUUCAGCUCAGUCCACCUUAGGCUGGGGUACAAGCCAUCUCCCAUUUGACGCUCCUGGGUGGAAUCUGAUGAAACAGGUGCUCUUGAGGAUCUAACCCUGUUACUAAUAUGAAUGUAGAGUGUGGAACUAACGAGAUGAUUGAUGACCAUUAAUAAUCAGAGUCUCCUCGUGGGUCCAUGUCACUGUGGGUGGCAGCAGCUCUGCUCUCCUGGCACAUUAACAGAGGGACAGCAGUUUCCUGGGGAGCAGCACUCCUGUCCUUACCUGUGUGGUAAAGUUGUGUGUGUCACAGGCCCUUUGAAACAGAUCCUGCUGUCCUGUUCUUGACCUUAAAUACACUGUACUAAAGUUUAUUGUAAGAGGUGAAUUAAUGAAAAUAAACCUUUUAUUUCUCU